RNAcentral lists this long non-coding RNA (355 nucleotides) under Gossypium raimondii (Peruvian cotton). RNAcentral's name for it is "long non-coding RNA (GRAI_LNC009193)". Lineage: Eukaryota; Viridiplantae; Streptophyta; Magnoliopsida; Malvales; Malvaceae. The record is from RNAcentral.
GACACUCUCAGAUGUCAGGUAUGUACCUAAUUUACGAAAGAAUCUCAUCUCCUUGAGUAUUUUAGACUUGAAAGGAUGCAGAAUCAACAUCGAGUAGAGCGGUAUUAAAGUAUCUCAUGGAGCUCUCGUUUUGUUAAAAGGUAAAAGAACUGGCAAUCUUUAUAUUCUGGAAGGUUCUACAGUGACCAGUGAAAUCGGACGUCCCUCAUCCGUUAUAGCGAAGUCAACUCAUUUGGAGCGGAGGAAACUUGGUCAUAGGAGGGAAAAAUGUAUGACCGUUUCGUUGAAGAGAGGUUCACUUUUGGAUGCAGGUUUUGAAAAGUUAGGGCACUGUGUUCGUGAAAAUUAGACCCGG